GUCUACGGCCACGCCACCCUGAACGAGCCCGAUCCCGUCUGAUCUCAGAAGCUAAGCAGGGUGGGGCCUGGUGAGAACUUGGAUGGGAGACCACCUAGGAAGACCAGGUGCUGUAGGCG
This 119-nucleotide ribosomal RNA is filed under the name Pteropus alecto (black flying fox). Lineage: Eukaryota; Metazoa; Chordata; Mammalia; Chiroptera; Pteropodidae. The record is from RNAcentral.